Pteropus vampyrus (large flying fox) is the source of this 119-nucleotide ribosomal RNA. Lineage: Eukaryota; Metazoa; Chordata; Mammalia; Chiroptera; Pteropodidae. The record is from Ensembl.
GGCUAUGGCCAUACCACCCUGAACAUGCCUGAUAUUGUCUGAUCUCGGAAGCUAAGCAGGGUUGGGCCUGGUUAGUAAUUGGAUGGGAGACCACCUAAGAAGACCAGGUGCUGUAGAUG